This is a long non-coding RNA of Micropterus dolomieu (smallmouth bass), 546 nucleotides long. RefSeq lists it as uncharacterized. The record is from RefSeq and is a predicted model, not a curated record. The transcript is spliced from 3 exons. Lineage: Eukaryota; Metazoa; Chordata; Actinopteri; Centrarchiformes; Centrarchidae.
ACCGUUUCUCAAGGUUGACAAGUCAGUCAAACCCAUUUUUGGACACGGAAAGGCCAAAACAACCUCGCGGGUAAAGACGGCUAAGAAAUAAAACAUUCAGAUUUAGAUUUGUUGACUGGCUGGUUGCAUUUCCUGCCUGUGUGAGUCUCUGUGACGAAAGUUGGGAGAACAAUACAGGACGUUUACUGCCAGACUGUGAUGCAAUCUAUGUUGGAAGACAGGAGUCACAUCUCCUCCUGCUAUCCCACCAUGACACGACAAGACUCAGCUCAGACUCAGCGUCUGAAGAAAUUCACCUCUCAGCCCUCCAUGCAGGAGCUUUCAGACGGUUGUUUGUCCACCACGAAACCAAAAACUUACAUCAUCCUGUGAAGCUAAAGCUAACAAACUGCAUGCUAACGUAGCAUCUUCAUUCUGAGAUCAAACCAGCUAAAAAAACAAAACUGUUGCUUGUUUGCUAAAUUAAAUGUUCUGAACUGAAUCCAACUGAGCAGAUGUUUCGUCAGUCAAACAGGAUGUGCUGAUGUAUUUCAAAAUAAAAGGCUU